CCUACGGGAUGCAGCAGUGAGGAAUAUUGGUCAAUGGACGCAAGUCUGAACCAGCCAUGCCGCGUGCAGGAUGACGGCUCUAUGAGUUGUAAACUGCUUUUGUACGAGGGUAAACCCCGAUACGUGUAUCGGGUUGAAAGUAUCGUACGAAUAACGAUCGGCUAACUCCGUUCAAGCAGCCGCGGUAAUACGGAGGAUCCGAGCGUUAUCCAGAUUUAUCGGGUUUAAAGGGUGCGUAGGCGGUUUGAUAAGUUAGAGGUGACAUGUCGGGGCUCAACCCCGAAACUGCCUCUAAUACUGUUGGACUAGAGAAUAGUUGCGGUAGGCGGAAUGUAUGGUGUAGCGGUGAAAUGCUUAGAGAUCAUACAGAACACCGAUUGCGAAGGCAGCUUACCAAACUAUAUCUGACGUUGAGGCACGAAAGCGUGGGUAGCAAACAGGAUUAGAUACCCGAGUAGUC
This 460-nucleotide ribosomal RNA is filed under the name uncultured bacterium. RNAcentral's name for it is "partial 16S ribosomal RNA". It matches the Rfam family "Bacterial small subunit ribosomal RNA", at positions 338 to 795 of the family's 1533-position model. The record is from RNAcentral.